RNAcentral lists this long non-coding RNA (1041 nucleotides) under Nicotiana tabacum (common tobacco). Its description in RNAcentral is "long non-coding RNA (NTAB_LNC001397)". Lineage: Eukaryota; Viridiplantae; Streptophyta; Magnoliopsida; Solanales; Solanaceae. The record is from RNAcentral.
AUCCCUCUCAUUCUCUAUCAGAGAACGGCCGCCUCCCCUCUUGUCCUCUCUCGUUUCUCUCUCAAUAAACUGGUGCGCCGCAGCCGGAAGUGGUGACCGGCCAGGCGGCAACCAUUGCUGGACCUUCACCUUUUGUUCAACCCCCCUCAACCCCUGUCCCUCGUUCCACCAUUCUCAUUGCUGUUGCACCGGCGACGAGCGACUGGCCGUUUACAACCAUGGCAAUAACCAUUGCCUUCGUCCUCGUCUCUGUUAGUCUGUAGCUUUCCGGCGAUUACUUGUUUGUUUUCUUUUGAAUCUGACCGGAGGGGCCUGGAUCUGAUGGAAACACUUUUUCGGACAUGAUACUAGGUUUGCUUGCUUGUUACAAAUUUUCUUUUCUAUCUUGUCACCUAGAUCUGAGGAAUAAUGAAGAGAAACAAUAAGUGGACGUUUGGACAUAAGAAUUGUAAAUUUUUUUAAAAAAGUGAAUUUUUUUAAGUAAAAAUAUUAUUUGAAAAUUAGAGUUGUGUUUGAAUAUGAAUAUAAUUUGGUGUUGUUUUUGAAGUUUAGUGAUUAAUCUGAUUGGAAAUUUUGAAAAACGGUUUUUUGAAAUUUUUUAAAAUUUUAAAAAAUUUCAAAAUGUAUCUCCAAGCGAAAAUUAAAAAAAAGUGAAAAUUUUUUGAAAAAAGAAAAAAAUUUCUUAUGUCGAAACGUGUUCUAAAUAAUCCAGUCAUCGGAGUGCAGCCGGAAUCUAACCGAAAUAUUCUCCGGUGAUUGUUUCCCGUUAGCCUCUGCUACUGUUUGGCUAUCAUGUUCGUUGCUGUUGAGUUUUGGUAGCCUUUGGUCCUGGAUUGAAUUAAUCUUAUCAUUUUUGGGAUCUCUUUCCCAUGAUAAAAUAUGCUUGAUUCAGGGAGUUCCAUUUUCGGACUGUGAGAUGCUAAAUUGCUGCUGAGUGUCGCUGAUCCAAAAUACACUAGGUCGUGAUGGCGCCUAACGCCGUCGUUAUGUAAGCUAACAGUGAUUAAUCAAUUUAAUUACUCAUUUUAUUACUUUUGAAAU